UACGGAGGGUGCAAGCGUUAAUCGGAAUUACUGGGCGUAAAGGGCGCGUAGGCGGCCUGUUAAGCCAGAUGUGAAAGCCCCGGGCUUAACCUGGGAACCGCAUUUGGAACUGGCAGGCUUGAGUGCAGGAGAGGAAGGUAGAAUUCCCGGUGUAGCGGUGAAAUGCGUAGAGAUCGGGAGGAAUACCAGUGGCGAAGGCGGCCUUCUGGACUGACACUGACGCUGAGGCGCGAAAGCGUGGGUAGCAAACAGG
RNAcentral lists this ribosomal RNA (253 nucleotides) under uncultured bacterium. RNAcentral describes it as "partial 16S ribosomal RNA". It matches the Rfam family "Bacterial small subunit ribosomal RNA", at positions 524 to 776 of the family's 1533-position model. The record is from RNAcentral.